UGAAACCGCAGGCGCCGAACCAGUGGGGAAGUUGACGUGACCCCAGUGGUUCCGCCCCCUCGGUCCACCCCCCGCUGGGCCAUGCGGACUCCACGCUGUCAGGACGAGCCUUUCAGCGAGCGGUUCGUCCAGACCAACGGGACGCAGCGGGGCGACGCUGUAGACGCACGAGGCUAACGUGACGUUUCCGUUAUCGCUAAAUUCCCAGAAGCGCACGUGUAGCGUUCCGAGGAGAACGUCUCAGCGGAGGCGCGCGGGAACCAAACGACGCUCUGCCGGAGGAACCUACGACACUCCAGCACGAAGCGGUUCACUAAUCAUCCCCGACUGUCGAGUGAAGCGACGGACUGCGCCGAAAUGGACGCUGCGUUCCCUACCUGCGCUAUUCCCGCAGCUGCCUACACCGCGACCACCCCUGCGUCCGCCGGCGCGGAUGGUUUGUUCCGGGCAGGAGCGGCGGCGAGAGCGAGGGGGGGGGGGGGCUGUUGCCCAGAGUUACCGCCUCGGUCCAAACAUGCAGCGGCGCUAAGUUCGGCUCUAAGCGGCACGAAAGCGUAUAUAACACACGAAGAGGUUACGAAACGAGCCCCACGGCGUCACGGGGCAAUUUAAAUAUUACAAAACACAAAGCUUUUCUACUAUUUGAACUUUGUUUAGAGGAACGUGUAGGUUGACUCUUGACAACACGUUUAAGUAUAAUAUUAAUAAAAAUAACAAGUUAUUUAUGUGUGACAAUUUAGCAUGUGUAACAAGCAACACGUGAAAAGUUUCAUUUCUCUUUCGGAUUUGGAUCCACCUCCGACUGUGACGUCAUCCUGCAACAACGGAUAAAGGUUCCUGUCCGCCAGAAAUAAUAAAAAUAAUGAUAAUAAUAAUAAUAAUAAUAAUAAUAAUAAUAAUAAUAAUAAUUGGGGGGCAGAAGAACCAUUUUUAAUUUUACACACAUUAGUUUUUAACAACAAAAGAAGAGCACAACAUUACUGAAAAUAUACUUAAGCUAACGAAAUAUAAUAUCUGUCUAACAUGGGUGACAUGGUGACAGGGCACUGUCACACAAUCCACUGUGUUUGUCCCUGCAUUACUGCAUGUCACCUGAACACUGUAUACCAACAAUGGUCACAUGGCAACACAGCGUCUAUAGAUACAGGAUGCUGUUUAACCACAGUCAAAUACGCCACUGGUGAAACUGGAGCCCCAUGAUGUCGACUGUGCCCUGCUAACAGUCUGGCCAACUUAAGCAUCUCGGCCACCUCCAGCAGCUCGCGGCGUUUUUAACGGGCUGUGUCACUGCCGGUGCUCGUUCAGCUGAGCAUUUAUAGCCGCAGUUAAAAAAGGGCCAGUCUCCAGCUAAAACGCUGCUCCAAAAACCACAUUCCACUGCUAAAACUUAAUAGGCCACAUUACUAUGUGCAUAAAUCAUGUUAAAAAGCGCUUUACUUCAACCUAUGGACAUAAGGACACUUCUGUUGCUCUGUUUCAGCCUAGAGGAUCAUGAAGUCGCCACGAAAUGCAGAACGAGCCAUGAAGUCAGCGUGUGACCAGUGACCAUGUCUCCUCUGGUUGCCUCUGGUUUCAUUUACUUCCAAGAAGUCUGAAGCCGAGCCUGAGACCAGGUUCUGAAGACCAGCAAAGACCAACAUGACCGAGAAGCUGUUUUCGUAUGUGACAGACAUGAAUAUUGGCAGCCUUUCACCUUUGUGCUGGCAAUGACUCAGCUUUUUUGUGUCUGCUCGAAGUGACCCGCAGCCCGGCGAGGCCUCGUCUCUGCGCGAGGGUCUGGACCGGCGUGUCCGACGCGACGCGACGCGAGAUGCGUUUGGGAAGCCCGGGCCCGGAGCAGACCACCGCAGGCUGUGAACCGAGGCCAAGGCCAGACGCCGGGCAGCCAGAUGUGGGGGCGAGCAGCAGCCGUGCCUGCGGCGGAGCUGCACUAGCUGACCGGGACCUACGCGCGCACACAGUGACACGAACAACCAUUUUUUCCUGGGCUGUGUUGAGAGACAGCGGAGGAACUGCCGACUCGUGUGUUUCGCGAGGCGCUCUGUGUGACACAAGAAAGUCCUGGCAGCCUGGUGGGAUGCAACAACGGUCCCUGUAGGCCGGGAUGCAGCUGCUUGGCUCCAGCAGAAUCACCCACUGAGCUCUCCGGUUGUAGUCGAUGCUUAUCCACCACCACCCCUCGUACGGCUGGAAUUCAUCACCAGAUAUGGAACUUUUUGGAGGUUUGUACUAAAAUUAAUUUAUUUGGGUAAGUCACAAACUGAACUUUUUAUUAUUGCUGUUGUAUUUCAUUUUUAAUGAUGAUGAUUAGAUCUUAAUGCAGUAGAGCUGGUAUGCUGAAACACAAUACGUCCCUGCAGACACCACUCAAGCUCUACACCGAACACACACUCCUUCAGCUCCCACUCAGACAGCUCCGCCUGCUGUGCAGCCACCAAACGCUGUCCACUGGCUCCUUGCAGCAUCCCUUUGCUCAGCUUGCCCCCUGCAGGACAAUGAGGGAACUGCAGGCGAGGAGUGUCGAGCACCCCCAAAAAGGGGAACAAACACCAGGGGGCAAAAAGGAGCCGCUUGCUUGAAAGUAGGGCAGCCCAUGAUGAAAACUCUGUUCAGGGGCAUUUCUUUACUUUGCCUUUUAAGUCUCAAUGUGUAUGUUUCCAUCCUAUUGUUUCAUAUGGCUGAAAUUUGCACUUAAAUAUAGCCCAAGCUAAGUAAGAAAUGGUGAUGCAGUAUGUGGAUGGCUGUUGUGAAAGUUUUGUGUCAUACUCCUAAAACAUUAUUUACUUUACAAUAUUAAUUAUUUUAAAUAAAUUGCUCCCUAUACGCCACAUCUCCCAGAUUCAGCUUUAACCUGGAGGCACUUGUGCUUCCAUAUCCUCAGGAAUGUGUAGCAGUGUGUAUAUCCCGCCUGCAACUCACACACAAGCUAAUAUCAUAGAGAUGCCAGUCUCUUCUCCCACGAGCCAGAAUGUGGGGUGCACACGUCAUUGCAUGGAUCAAAGCACCUGUCAAAAAGAUAGUAAUAUGACACAUUGUUUUUGGCCAGAAACUACAUUUUUAGCAGGGGAGGGGAGGAGGAAACCCACUAACACACACACACACACACACACACACACACACACACACACACACACACACACACACACACACACACACACUAGUGGUAGAUGGCUGCCUGGUCUGACGCUGGGUGGGUGAAGCUGUAAUAGAUAAAGCAGGACAGAUUGGAAAACCACACCUAUCUGAGACAUGGAGAGGAAGGCCAGGGCAGCGAAAGGGCCGCAAAGCCUCAAAUGGGAGAAACAGGUGAGUUAACGUGUGUGUGCGUGUGUGUGUGUGCGUGUGCGUGUGUGUGUGUGUGUGUGUGCGCGUGUGGGAUUCUUCUAGGGCAAGGUAAUGAAUGGCUAAAGGAGGAAUGCUGGCUUAACAGGACAAGUAAGUGCUAAUAAAAAGAAAAGAAGGGAGCUCAAUAAUCCCAAAAUGAGGGGUCAAUAGGAAGACACUUCAUGCCCUCACCUCUACCUCACCCGUCAACUCGUUAUUCAAAACAAAGACUUCUGCUCACAAAGUCUAAGAUUAUGCACAUCCCUGCGGGACAUAUAGACACAAUAUGUACAUCUAUGCAAACACACACAUGCACACACUGCACAGAGUAGCUCACAUGCUAUCAAAGCCCUCAUUGUUUCUCUCCUUAUCACUUUCCUCUCUGCUGUUUUUCUCUUCCUGCACUCUCUUACCUGCCCUUAUCUCCUCUCCCUUUCAUCUCGGGAGAGGCCUCGGAGCGCGGGAGACAAAGAGAACAGAGGAGGAGGAAAGAAGGAGCAGCAACAAGAGGGCAUGAGAGGAGAUGAGGAGAAAAGGAGAGUAGGUCGCCUUAUCUGAGAGACGCCACACACACACACACACACACACACACACACACACACACACACACACACACACACACACACACACACACACACACACACACACACACACACACACACACACACACAGGGGCCAUUGUUCUGAGGUUUUUGCGGCGGAGCCCUGUGAUCACCAAGGCUGAGUCUAAUGAACGUGUGGCCUCUCUCUUUCUUCCUCUCCCCUCUUUUCAUCUCCUCCCCGACUUGUCUCCCGCCAUUCACUGAGCCCUCUUCCUCCUUGUCUUCCUGAGCUCCUCUAGCCCCCCCCAUCAACAGGAGAUUUCCACAGGAGGCCUAAUUGCAGCGGCAGCGUAAGUGCAUGCAUUUAAAGCGCGGAUGGCUCCAAGGGGAAUCCAGCGACUUACUUUCAAAUUGUUAAGUCCCUGCUACAUUCUCCUGAGAAUCAACUGAGGGGUAGCACGGGGAGCUGGAGCUCCACAUGGAGCGUGCGUUGACAAAGAUGAAGGUUUCUCAUAGCCAAGAGAAAGGCUGCAGACACAAACGGCUACAAGAAAACCAUACCCUGUUUUAUUACGGGUAACUGAAGGAGAGCGUAAUAUAAAAUCCAGCAUCACUAGGCCACACAAAGAGUUUGAAUGAAGUUAACCCACUGCUGCGUGCCUUCCAACUCCCGCUGAAACAGCUGGCCACUUACACGUCCUGAGCUCUAGCUCCGACACAUGCAGAUGUUCUGUUAGAGGAGGUUAGUGCAUCAACAACACAUGUGCUAAUUAGCAAAGCUGCUCCGUGUUCCAAGUUCACACAUUUAACUCGCAGCGAUGACGCAGCUGGGUUGGACCGCGCCGCACUACUCCACCGACGGCCUGAACUAGUCCGAGCCUCUCGCCGGGUGCGCAUUUCCUCAUCACUGGCAUGCACAGUGGAACAGGACGGGGCAACAGAAAAACGUCGCGUGACUCAGAGAUACAGGAUUAUUCCAGAAACUGAUUGUUCGUGAAACAGUGAAAACAGUUCAAGCAGCACGCAGUUCGAGGUUCACAGCCAAGAGGUUUUGACAUCCACUGAGCAGCUCCACGAACGCAGCAGCGCCUCGUCUCCCAAAUUCCCAAAGGAGGAAUGUUGCAGGAUCAUCAGCAGAAUGUUUCUGGGAUCCUUAAUGAAGACAUGCUGGCGUUGCCAUGGCAAGCGCUCACAUGGAGACGGGAUCCUUCCAUCCCUAUUGUUUUCAAAGUGCUACGGUGGCAGCACUGGAGGUACAGUAUGUGGAGGUACUGCUGCUUUACAAGGUUCUUGGAAAGUAUGUGUGAAUAUGCGCUGUGUUCACACACACACACUUACUCACAGUGUCGCUAUGGAGACAGAUAAAUGUUGUGUAUGUGUGUGUUUGGGAAUGGUCAAGGAUCAGUCCUCCAUGAUGUAAUCAAUAUGUUUGAUCCUUGACCCCCAACCUAAACUACCCGGAACCUGUUUUUUGGCAAUGGAGCAACUACAAGCUGGGAAGUCCUGCUUGACCUUUUUGACCUCUUCAUUUCGCAUGACUACGGGAGUGAUGCUGCUGCACCUUGUGAAGAUCUGUGAAUGUAAAGAGAGCCAUACAUUUUCUGCAUUGCUGUAUGUAUUGUUGAACAAUGGAGCAAAAGCAGAGGCCUGCACUAUCAAAAGGUCCAGCAGUCUGUCCUGGCUUAGUCUAAGCAAAAAUUCAGCAAGUGAUGAACUUCUAUACACUAUAGACAAGCAGAAAAAUAAUGAUUGCUGUCCAAAGGUCCUGUUCCUGUAAAAAGAUGUAUAAAAUACUAUAAAAGAGAAAAAAACAACCAGGAAUUUCACUCACUAGUAAAUAUUAAAUAGCGCAGAGACACAGUAAGUGGCUGUGGUUGGUACCUGUGUGGUGCUGUGUACUCUUCAUACAAAGGCUACACUCCAGGUCCACCCAUUCCCAGAAUCUGCCAUGCACUGAGGAGUGGGCCCGUCCCCUGAUCACACACUCAAACGCACAUACACACACACACUCAUUACACUCAUUGACCCAGAAAGCAACAGAAAAAGAAAGCUGCUUCUUGUGUUCUUUUUGAGCCAUGUAGACGAUUCUCAUAACAAAGUGCUAAGGCUGGCACUGCUAACACAUCUGCCGUCCAAGGUAAAUUGCAGUCUGCCAAGUGAAUGGCACAGAGUUUGUUUUCAGUCAGGCACCUAGAUAUGACUUCAGGGGCUUUACGGUUUUGAGACGUACUGUACAUAUUUGUGUCAGUAUCUGCAUCUUUGUUUUUAUCAGUUCACAUGGUUAUACACUAUUUUAGCAGCACAUUUGUUAAGCAAAUUAAUUAAUGCAAUUAAUAAUAAUGGUAAAUAUUAAUUAAAUGCAAAUAAUAAAAUGCAUGAAUGACUUUGCUCUACUGUAUGUGUGAUGAUAACAUAAGUUAAAGACCCGCUGUGUUUCUGGGCCACAUGCACAACACACAGGCCACGGCAGUGACAAACAAACCAUCACACUGGGUAUUUAUACUUGCCGAAAUAGCCACUCACACUUUAAACGGAAUCACCUUGCCCACCAAACAUUCCACACCAACAAGCGAGCACUUUGAACGAGGCGCCAUCUGCCUCCUUGACUGCUGGGAAGUCUAUACGGACAUCAUCAUGACCCUCCGCACCACCCCGACCGCGUCUGAAACCGACCCUGUCAAGCCGCUGUCAAAUACUGUACCACUCAGCAAAUCCAGCAAGGUGGAAAAAAAGACAGAUGGGAACUGGAAGAAUCUGUAUUUUCAAAUUUUUCUGGAUUUUACUGGUAAUGGUAAAGUAGCACUUGUUUCCAAAGAGCAAGAAUGUUUUAUUUUUGUGGGGUUUUGCCUUUUGUACGUCACACACUGCUUUCAUUUACAUAAAAGUUACUCAAUGAAGAUGUUGAGCUUGAAAACAGAACCAUCUCGAUCUCAAAAACAAAAGCACUUUUUAAUAACAGAUUUCCCAGAAUCAGACACAUUGGACUGGAAAUGCCACAUCAUUCUUUCUGUUGCAGAUGACUUGAUGAUGGCAGAACUUCUGGGUCAAGCCAAAUGUCAGUGGAAAGACCCAGUGAUGGAGUAAAUAUGUGCCUUUAACUUUACAAGAGUGUGCUUCUAUAUCGCCACUACUCAAAUCUACAGUAUAAUACGAUGCAGGUCUAUCCCAUGAUUGCUAUAGUGGGACAUGUAAUUUGUUUAUUUUGGCUUUAAGGAUCCCACUUCUUACAAUAAUUACUGUAAAUGUGAGAGUACUUUGGCUAUUGGUUGCUUUAACAAACAACAAACACUCAAAAGUAUUUCCUGUUUAUCACUAAGCAUGUAGACCAUCUGAGCAAUUUUAGGUAAUGUCCCUGACGUAGGGCUGUUAAUAGUGAGGAACAAUAAACACAGACUAAAGUUUUACUGCACUUUACUGGAAACGGGGUUGAAACAACACUACAGGUUAUGCAGAACAAAUCAACACCAUUACAAAAAAGGAUGCUGUGCGUGAAUAUGUUAAGAUGAACAUACCAUAACAUGUAAUAAAUAAACUAACGGUAAUAAAUGGAUGCUGCUGGAUGCUACAGUAAAACAUGACAAUUAGCAUCUCGUAUAAAGCACGACUGAGAUUAAAUGAUGGUGAGAAGCAACUUGGGCAAAGCUUGACAGAUUUCCACAAAGCUGCAUAAGUUGAAGCACCGACAUCCCCUGUUCUUACAGUUAGUGAAAGUGAGAUGAUAACAGCUUUAUUAUAAAGUGGGAUUUGAUAUAAAGCUUGUGCUA
Long non-coding RNA from Betta splendens (Siamese fighting fish), 7630 nucleotides. RefSeq lists it as uncharacterized. The record is from RefSeq and is a predicted model, not a curated record. The transcript is spliced from 7 exons. Lineage: Eukaryota; Metazoa; Chordata; Actinopteri; Anabantiformes; Osphronemidae.